Molecule: transfer RNA, 100 nt
Organism: Dichomitus squalens LYAD-421 SS1
Lineage: Eukaryota; Fungi; Basidiomycota; Agaricomycetes; Polyporales; Polyporaceae
Rfam family: tRNA
About the family: Transfer RNA (tRNA) molecules are approximately 80 nucleotides in length.
Source: Rfam
GGCCGCCUGGCGUAAUGGCAACGCGUCUGACUACGAGCACGCCUUGGAGGCGAAAGCUUAGGGCAUCAGGAGAUUGCAGGUUCGACCCCUGCGGUGGUCA